Dermacentor albipictus is the source of this 1824-nucleotide non-coding RNA. Lineage: Eukaryota; Metazoa; Arthropoda; Arachnida; Ixodida; Ixodidae. The record is from RefSeq and is a predicted model, not a curated record.
AAAGAGCUGAGAACAAGUACAGGUCACCUUAUGCUUUGUCACCUAAAAACGCAUACCUGAUGGCUUUAUGAAGGUGGUACGUUAAUAUUAAGUUUACAGAAAGCGAUCGCUAAGUCCGUGACUUAUGUAAAUCACGAUGUACGCAUUCAUGCAAUAAAGGAUGACGCGAAUUUCGGUUUCGAAUCUGUUUUUUGGAUGCGUAGUAGUUUCGUUUGACAUGCGAUCGCGCGUCGACAUCGGACGCUAUGACACACUCGUGCCUUAUGUGCCACCGAAGCCCCGAAGUGGUCUGGCAUAUACCUUCACAUGUUUCCCUUCAGUAGGAAAUUGCUGGACAGGCGGACCAGCGCACCGGAAUUGUACUGGCGAAGCCACAAGCAACUCAAAGAAUCUGUUUAAUUGUUGCACUUCGAACAAUCAUGCUUCUACAAAGGCCACAGCAGAAAAACAGCCUGAUGACCGAGUAUUUCUGUGCCACGAAGUAAUCAAGAGGCGAGUGCCUAAUGCGGACGAAAUAGAGUGCAUCGAGACUUAGAACGACAGAAAGCUGAGCUAGUUCGUAAGGAUUCAUUAUGCAAAACAGAGGUGAGGCGUGCAGACAGGACACAAGAGUAGAGAAGUGGGCGGCGCGCAUGUUGUUUGCUUGUAAAUACUCUACUCUUGUUUCCUGUCUGCACGCCUCACCUCCGUUUUGCAUAACGAGUGCAUCAAGCCACAUAUUAAUAGCUUAGGCGUUUUAUUAACUGUGCAAUAUUUUCAACACUUCCUUGCAUGCCAUUUCAUGUGGCAUAUCUUUUCUGGUCACAAAUUUGUGCAGCGAAUCUAUUUGCAUGAUCGACUCCGGGCCUGUGGGACCGUUCACUUGCACUUGAUGCUGAGUCUUUUACAUGUACCCAUAAAUUGCAGAUAUGCACAUCAGAUCCCUGCGAGCACUUUCAAAAUUCAAUUAUUUUCGACAACAGGCACAUAUGCAAUACUGACAUAAUCCGGAAUACCACUAAGCAGCUGGGACACAUUUUUGUUGACCAUACUCGCAGGUAAAAUAAGUACAUCAUGUGGACAGCUCCAGCUCAUUUUCCUUAAGUCAGUGUGUACAAGGGUUAUGCAAAAAUAAUUUUUUUCUCGCGCACCGAUUAUAUUGCUUUAUAAGCAAGAGAACCCACCACGUUAGUGUAACGUAUCUUGUGCAUCACACUAAUAUGUGCUUUCAUUUACCAAGUGAGAUGAGUUACUUUUAUGGCUCAUUCAUUCAUAUCACACUGCAAGCUGCAUUCAUCAAUCUUCAAUGGGAUUUUGCAAAUGUUUAAUGAAACAUGUUUCCCUUUUAUGCAGAUAUGCAAUGGCAAGCCCUUCCCUGUGUUCCAAAGACAAUGCCUACGCCUAGCCACAGCAGCUCCCUCAUACAGACUCCGCAAACCAAGAGGCCGUGGAGGCAAAUGCAGGCAGCCAGCACACCUCAAACAGCCACCUUGACUGCGGGUGUGUCACCCUAGUCGCCAAGGAAACAUUUGAGGGAAAGUGACAGGCAAUGUGAACAGCCACUUCUCCAUGUAAACAAUACUCUUUCUCUCGGAUGACUCCUACGCCUCACCACGCCAGCACACUUGUGCACAAAGAUGCCGCAGAGGCACGUGCAGGUCAGAGGCAAGAGGCAGUGGCACUGGUGUCGACAUUUACCCAAUUUCUUUCUCUCACACUGAGGCAGCCAGCACACCUCGAACAGCCACCUCGACUGCGGGUGUGUUAGUUGAUCCCUGUUGUACAUAUGCUCAUAAUAAACUUCAGUAAACUUGAACUUCAUAAUAAACUUGAAGGCAAAUGGUA